This 30-nucleotide ribosomal RNA is filed under the name Lasiodiplodia theobromae. Its description in RNAcentral is "partial 18S ribosomal RNA". The record is from RNAcentral. Lineage: Eukaryota; Fungi; Ascomycota; Dothideomycetes; Botryosphaeriales; Botryosphaeriaceae.
AAGGAUCAUUACCGAGUUUUCGAGCUCCGG